Molecule: ribosomal RNA, 405 nt
Filed under: uncultured bacterium
Lineage: Bacteria
Description: partial 16S ribosomal RNA
Rfam family: Bacterial small subunit ribosomal RNA
Source: RNAcentral
GACGAACGCUGGCGGCGUGCUUACCACAUGCAAGUCGCGCGGAGCGGCGAACGAGUGAGUAACGCGUGAGUAACUGCCCCCCUCUCUGGGAUAACCGUUGGAAACGGCUGCUAAUACCGGCUAGUGGGGGAUGACUCGCGUCCUCUCAGCUUGUUGGUGGGGUAGUGGCCUACUAAGGCGACGACUGGUAGCAGGCCUGAGAGCGCGACUGGCACCGGUGGGCGUAGAUUCAGCCCGAACUCCCACGGGAGGCAGCAGUGGGGAAUAUUGCACAAUGGUGGAAACCCUUAUGCAGCCACGCCGCGUGCGGGAUGACGGCCUUCGUGUUGUAAGCCGCUUUCAGCAAUGACGCGUUAGUGGCAGAAGUCGCACCGGAUGACUACGUGCCAGCAGCCGGGGUAAUUC